UCCUGCCAUGGUAGUGUUGUCAAGCUGGAUGAACAUUCAAGCAGUCCCACUGUGAACUUUGGAUCGCUCGGCUUAGUAGGGUAUGGCUAUAGACCGUAAGCCAUUCAGACAUCCAAAGAUGGAAGGGGAGAGGAAUGACUGGGGAAAACUGCUACUGUGUACAUUCAGUUCUGAUGAAAGUGGAGUAUUUUUGAAGGCACUGGUUGUGUGUUGCCAUAUCAUACAAGUAUGAUAAACAGUGGAUUCAGAUGAGGUCAUGGUGGAAAUGGAAGACACUGGAAGAUCAGAUUCUCAACCAGGGUUGUGAAUAAUCCUUAUCUGAGAGAGGCGGGGAAGAGUGCUGUGGGCAACACCAUCCUGGGCAGAGGGGGUGUUUGACACGGUGUGGGUAAGGACCAGGAAGGUGGUGAGAAGGCAGGGUAAGGUUGCCUAGAGGCAGGUGAACAUGCCUGGUUGGGAGGGGUUCCCCUCCAGGGGCUUCUCUCUGGGGGUCUGCAGGGAGAUUGUCCACAGCAAUCCUGGAGGAGGUCAGGGAGAAGUAGGAGGAGAGGAGGCACCAAGAGGAGGACAGAGAGGAUGGGCUGAGGAGGGUCAGCUGGAGAUGGAGGAGACAGGGGAGGGAGAGAAGGCCACAGAGGAGUCCACGAGAUGGCAGAAAGGGAGAUACACAGAUGAGAAAUCAGACAAUUCCCCUCCAGGAGGGUAAAAAGGCUGCGCCAGGAUUCUCUGGCACUUCCUGAACUUCCAAAUUCCUCUACACAGCGAGUCGUAGAUCCUCUGCCAGGAGUCUAGCUCUGUGCGCCA
This is a long non-coding RNA of Oncorhynchus tshawytscha (Chinook salmon), 804 nucleotides long. RefSeq lists it as uncharacterized. Lineage: Eukaryota; Metazoa; Chordata; Actinopteri; Salmoniformes; Salmonidae. The transcript is spliced from 3 exons. The record is from RefSeq and is a predicted model, not a curated record.